Molecule: long non-coding RNA, 1602 nt
Filed under: Jatropha curcas
Lineage: Eukaryota; Viridiplantae; Streptophyta; Magnoliopsida; Malpighiales; Euphorbiaceae
Description: long non-coding RNA (JCUR_LNC000013)
Source: RNAcentral
UUAUUCAAAAUUCAAAGCACAUACACCUUAAAUACCCAUUUCUUUGUUAAAACUCUAAAUAUAUAAAAGUUAUCAAAUAAUCAUAUUUAUAUCAUAUAUAUAAAAUAAUUAAGUAAGCUUUACUACACUAAGGUGGUACCAAGGGGAGGAAUUUCCUUCUCCAAUCAAGCAGGCUAACACAAUUCUUAUGCACAAAAGUAUCAAUUUCAACCCUCAUCAUGCAUUAUCUAAACCAAUUCCACACUUUUUCAAUUUAUAUCCAUUUCAACAUAUCCACUACAACACUUGUCAAACUUAUUGUCAAGUAAAUGCUAAACCACACAAAUAAUCAAGAGAACUUCAUCACACAUGAUUUAUACAUACUUUUAUCCAAAUAAACCUAUGAGUUAAGACAUAGAAAAUUUCCAGCAUUAAUAUAAUCUUGACCUUUGCUGGGUUUUUAAGACAUAACUUAAGUUCUGUGUCUCCAAAUUGAGUGAUGUUUGAUUCAUUAGAAAGCUAAGACAAAAUGCUACAAAUGUUAUGAAGGGACCACAGCCCAGAUCAAUCUUUAAGAUGGCAAACAAAAGCUAGGAACACAGACCAACAGUCUAGACCUGAUUCAGCCGAACUAAUUUCAAUGUUUAUCAAAUUCCUACUUAUCCAGACACUCAAAUCAAACCAAUCCAAAACCAGAGAAGUCUCAAGACACAGGGAAACAACUGUUAUGAAGAACUCAGAACAUAAUAUUACCAUUAUAGUGGUCAAAAUGGGCACUCAAUUCAGUAAUGCAUGUGGCCCGUCAUAACAGAGUUAGUUUAGGUGUUUUAGCCAUAAGUUGAGCUAUAUGUAUCCAACUUGGACACAAGAGGAUGGGUUGGAAAGCUAAGAAGUAGACCUAAAACUUUCAUGAAGGACUCAGGCACCAAUGAAAAAUCAAAAGGAUCGAAAAACAGUCUUUAAUCACACCCAAUAACACUUUGUCCUAAUUUCAGCUUACUUAAAUCAUAUACAAGGUAGAGAUUUCUACCACAUACUCAAUACUCAUCAAAUAUCAUCUUAAGAUCACAAAUCCUCAAAGAAUAACAAGAAAACUUAAGGCCUUAUUGAUCAAUAGGUUCUGCCACUCUUGGAGGAUGAAGAAGAAAAUGUUUUCCUCAUCAAUUCAACAUAUAAGCAUGCUUAGAAAUCUCCCAAGAACACAUGUAUACCACCAAAAUUCAAUAAUCAAAUUAUUUCAUAUAAAAUUUCCAAUUUUCACAAAAUAGUAUAAACUUCACAAAAUCAAAAAUUUAAACAAGGUAAGAGGAUUUAUGAACACUUACCUUAAACAUAAGCUCUAACAAGCUUAAAUAAGACUCUUGAUGCCUUAGUUUUCCCUUGUCUUUGGUAGGAAGUUAUCCACCCUUUGUCCUCCAAAUUACUUGAAAUUAUUCACCAAAUAUCAUUUCUCAAGCUUUAAUCUCAAAGAUUGAUUAAUUAGAUCAAGUUGAAUGGUGUUAAAUUGGUGGAUUUAGUGAGUAUAAGUGAAGAAAACAAAGAGAAGAGAAAGAGAGGCUCAAGUUAAAAUGGAGGAGAAGAAGAAAGAAGUUCACGUUAGAUGGAUAGGAAGAGGAAGAAAAC